CUGCUUUUAUAAGGGAAUAAAGUGAGUCUCGUGAGACUUUUUGCAUGUACCUUAUGAAUAAGGACCGGCUAAUUCCGUGGCAGCAGCCGCGGUAAUACGGAAGGUCCGGGCGUUAUCCGGAUUUAUUGGGUUUAAAGGGAGCGUAGGCCGGAGAUUAAGCGUGUUGUGAAAUGUAGAUGCUCAACAUCUGAACUGCAGCGCGAACUGGUUUCCUUGAGUACGCACAAAGUGGGCGGAAUUCGUGGUGUAGCGGUGAAAUGCUUAGAUAUCACGAAGAACUCCGAUUGCGAAGGCAGCUCACUGGAGCGCAACUGACGCUGAAGCUCGAAAGUGGGGGUAUCGAACAGGAUUAGAUACCCUGGUAGUCCGCACGGUAAA
RNAcentral lists this ribosomal RNA (378 nucleotides) under uncultured bacterium. Its description in RNAcentral is "bacterial SSU rRNA". It matches the Rfam family "Bacterial small subunit ribosomal RNA", at positions 430 to 806 of the family's 1533-position model. The record is from RNAcentral.